CAACCAUUUGUUCAAAAAUUAAGUCCUCGUGGAGGCUCCUUGCUUGCCAAGGGUGUUUUGUCCAGUCUCCAGCAUGUUUUCAGAAAAUAAUAUUGAUAAUAAUAAAACAAAUGCAACAAGAAGUUAUUUAUUUCUCUAACUACCAGGACUGCAAAAACUAAUGGCCAUGAAGAUGUCACUCCACCCACAGACAAGGGCAGAGUCUGCCGCAGCACGACAAAGAAAUACUGAUUUGAAAGCCUUAAACUCUUGAACUUUUCUCUUCUCUGGGCAGUCGUGGGCAAAUCUUUUUGCCUCUUCGGUUGCCUCACCUCUGAAACAGACGUAAUGACACUUGGCAGCAUUGUUUAGAGCGCUAAUUGGUGUUUGUAUAAAGCUUUGGUGAUGUAAGCUGCCAUGUAAGCACAGGGAUGACUAUUGCUUUGAUACUGCUUGUUAAUUGCAACAGGAUGGGUAGUAGUCAUGCUGGAGUAUUUAAACAUGUUUUUUAAGAUGUAUUCCUAGAUCUCAUCCAGUGUUUUAAGAGAAUCUUUACUUCUGCAUUAGACAAAAGGCCAACAAAAUCUUUGUGCACUUAGUGGUCCUGCAGACAUUUUCUGAAAAUGUGCAAGGGGUGCUCCCUGCAUCAGACCCCAUAUCUCUGGGCCUUUAGCUUCCAGCCUCAUUGAGUGAGCUCCGUGCAGUGCUCGUUGCUUAAUACACUUUCUUCUCACUUCAUCAGUGAGAAAGAUCGAGAUCCAGAGAUUAUCUUCACUUCUAGACCCAUUUGUAGCACAGAGAUCUACAGAUCAAGAACAGAAGUGAAUGUACAUCAUGUGGGCUUAUCUCCUUUACGUAAUAAUUUUUUCUCAAAUUCUCUCUCCCCUUUGACAGACAAUCAUUCACUCAUCGCACAAGGACUGACAGUGAGGCCAACAAUGCAUGCUGUGCUUUGGAUACAAAGAGCAAUGCAAUCAUACAAAUGUCAAAUGCCAAAGAGGAGCACGCGGAAGCAGUGAAAGGCUCGGAGUGAAAGUGAUGAACAGUAAGGAGAAACUGGUAUGUCGUAGUGUUUGUCUGUGUGUCUGCAGGUGAUGUCAUUAAAAGGCCACGCAUAUGGCCACUGAUAGCUCUGUGCCAAUUACCGUUUGGGAAGCACAGGACAAGGAGGUAAAUGGGAACAGAAUCCUGGUGAUGGAACUCCUUAUCAGGGGAAUAAACAAGGAAGAGGACUGACCUUUCCA
RNAcentral lists this long non-coding RNA (1223 nucleotides) under Anser brachyrhynchus (Pink-footed goose). RNAcentral's name for it is "lncRNA (ENSABRG00000007131.1)". Lineage: Eukaryota; Metazoa; Chordata; Aves; Anseriformes; Anatidae. The record is from RNAcentral.